This 30-nucleotide non-coding RNA is filed under the name Mus musculus (house mouse). The record is from RNAcentral. Lineage: Eukaryota; Metazoa; Chordata; Mammalia; Rodentia; Muridae.
UCCUGUCAGGGCUGAUGCAUACAGAAAGUU